AUACGGAGGGGGUUAGCGUUGUUCGGAAUUACUGGGCGUAAAGCGUACGUAGGCGGACUGGAAAGUUGGGGGUGAAAUCCCGGGGCUCAACCCCGGAACUGCCUCCAAAACUUCCAAUCUAGAGAUCGAGAGAGGUGAGUGGAAUUCCAAGUGUAGAGGUGAAAUUCGUAGGUAUUUGGAGGAACACCAGUGGCGAAGGCGGCUCACUGGCUCGAUACUGACGCUGAGGUACGAAAGCGUGGGGAGCAAACAGGAUUAGAUACCCUAGUAGUCC
Molecule: ribosomal RNA, 274 nt
Filed under: uncultured bacterium
Lineage: Bacteria
Description: partial 16S ribosomal RNA
Rfam family: Bacterial small subunit ribosomal RNA
Source: RNAcentral